Molecule: ribosomal RNA, 459 nt
Filed under: uncultured bacterium
Lineage: Bacteria
Description: partial 16S ribosomal RNA
Rfam family: Bacterial small subunit ribosomal RNA
Source: RNAcentral
CCUACGGGAGGCAGCAGUGAGGAAUAUUGGUCAAUGGCCGGAAGGCUGAACCAGCCAAGCCGCGUGAAGGACGAAGGUGCCAAGCAUUGUAAACUUCUUUUGUCCAGGGACAAAAUCAGGCUCGAGAGCCUGACCGCGGGUACUGGAUGAAAAAGCACCGGCUAACUCCGUGCCAGCAGCCGCGGUAAUACGGAGGAUGCGAGCGUUAUCCGGAUUUAUUGGGUUUAAAGGGUGCGCAGGCGGAGUAAAAAGUCAGCGGUAAAAUCGCGGGGCUCAACCCCGCUCCGCCGUUGAAACUGGGUGCCUUGAGUGCGCGACGGGUAGGCGGAAUGCGUGGUGUAGCGGUGAAAUGCAUAGAUAUCACGAAGAACUCCGAUGGCGAAGGCAGCCUACCGGGGCGCAACUGACGCUGAGGCACGAAAGCGUGGGUAUCGAACAGGAUUAGAUACCCGAGUAGUC